This 74-nucleotide small nucleolar RNA is filed under the name Portunus trituberculatus (swimming crab). The record is from RNAcentral. Lineage: Eukaryota; Metazoa; Arthropoda; Malacostraca; Decapoda; Portunidae.
AAAAACAUGAUGAUUCUAUUUAUGCACUGAACCUCCAUGUGGCUUGCAACAUGAGCUUUUUAACCCUGAUAAGA